ACGAGGACCUACCGGAGGGCAAGACUAAUGCCAGCCGCUGCGGUAAUUUUAGCUCCGGUGGCGUAUACUAAAAUUGUUGCAGUUAAAAAGCUCGUAGUCGUAUCCCUGCUGCGGCCGCGGGGCGACGCACUCGCGUGCUCUCCUCUGCGCGUCCCGGCACUCUGCCGUCUUUCCCGGGGCGAUUGUCAAAGGUUGUCCGGGGAGAGAAGGCGGUAGUCGCUGUGCAAAAAUUAAGGUGCUCAAGGCAGUCGAAGCGGACUGAAUAGGAAUGCACGGAACGGCGGAACUCGACCUCGAGGACGGGGGUUCUCGGACGUCCGAGAGGUGAUGAUCGAUAGGAGCAGACGGGGGCAUUCGUAUUCCGGCGCUAGAGGUGAAAUUCUUGGACCGCCGGAAGACGAGCUACUGCGAAAGCAUUUGCCAAGAAUGUUUCCUUUGACCAAGAACGAAAGUAAGAGGCUCAAAGAAGAUUAGAUACCUUUGUAGUUCUGACCGUAAACGAUACCGGCCAGCGAUCCGGUUGCGUACUC
This 530-nucleotide ribosomal RNA is filed under the name Trichonephila plumipes. RNAcentral's name for it is "bacterial SSU rRNA". It matches the Rfam family "Eukaryotic small subunit ribosomal RNA", at positions 537 to 1067 of the family's 1831-position model. The record is from RNAcentral. Lineage: Eukaryota; Metazoa; Arthropoda; Arachnida; Araneae; Nephilidae.